RNAcentral lists this ribosomal RNA (494 nucleotides) under uncultured bacterium. RNAcentral describes it as "partial 16S ribosomal RNA". It matches the Rfam family "Bacterial small subunit ribosomal RNA", at positions 28 to 507 of the family's 1533-position model. The record is from RNAcentral.
GACGAACGCUGGCGGCGUGCUUAACACAUGCAAGUCGAACGGUGAAGCGCCUUCCUUUUUGGUUGGAGUGGUUGAGUGGCGAACGGGUGAGUAACACGUGCGUAACCUGCCCCCUUCUUCUGGUUAACCGCAUUAAAGCUUGUCUAAUACGGGAUAUUCUGCUUCUUUCUCAUGAUGGGUCUGGGUAAGAUGUUGUUUCGGUGGUGGAUGGGCUUGCGCCCUAUCAGCUUGUUGGUGGGGUGAUGGCCUUGCAAGGCGGUGACGGGUAGCCGGCCUGAGAGGGUGGACGGUCAGACUGGGAGUGAGACACGGCUGAGACUCAGACAGGAGGCAGAAGUGGGGGAUAGUGCACAAUGGGGGCAAGCGUGAUGCAGCGAGGACGCGGGAGGGAUGGAGGCGUGCGGGUUGUGAACCUCUUUCGCCAGUGAAGCAGGACUGCCUCGUUUGUGGGUGGGUUGACGGUAGCUGGAUAAGAAGCGCCGGCUAACUACGUG